AACGAACGCUGGCGGCAUGCCUAACACAUGCAAGUCGAACGAAGCCUUCGGGCUUAGUGGCGCACGGGUGCGUAACGCGUGGGAAUCUGCCCUUGGGUUCGGAAUAACAGUUAGAAAUGACUGCUAAUACCGGAUGAUGUCUUCGGACCAAAGAUUUAUCGCCCAGGGAUGAGCCCGCGUAGGAUUAGGUAGUUGGUGGGGUAAAGGCCUACCAAGCCGACGAUCCUUAGCUGGUCUGAGAGGAUGAUCAGCCACACUGGGACUGAGACACGGCCCAGACUCCUACGGGAGGCAGCAGUGGGGAAUAUUGGACAAUGGGCGCAAGCCUGAUCCAGCAAUGCCGCGUGAGUGAUGAAGGCCUUAGGGUCGUAAAGCUCUUUUACCAGGGAUGAUAAUGACAGUACCUGGAGAAUAAGCUCCGGCUAACUCCGUGCCAGCAGCCGCGGUAAUACGGAGGGAGCUAGCGUUGUUCGGAAUUACUGGGCGUAAAGCGCACGUAGGCGGCUAUUCAAGUCAGAGGUGAAAGCCCGGGGCUCAACCCCGGAACUGCCUUUGAAACUAGAUAGCUAGAAUCUUGGAGAGGCGAGUGGAAUUCCGAGUGUAGAGGUGAAAUUCGUAGAUAUUCGGAAGAACACCAGUGGCGAAGGCGACUCGCUGGACAAGUAUGACGCUGAG
Molecule: ribosomal RNA, 675 nt
Filed under: bacterium IMCC8873
Lineage: Bacteria
Description: bacterial SSU rRNA
Rfam family: Bacterial small subunit ribosomal RNA
Source: RNAcentral